CCCUUAGAUGUUCUGGGCUGCACGCGCGCUACACUGAAGCUAUCAACACGUUUUCCCUCCCUGAAAAGGGCGGGUAACCUUUUGAAUCAGCUUCGUGGUAGGGAUCGGGGCUUGCAAUUGUUCCCCGUGAACCAGGAAUUCCUAGUAGACGCGAGUCAUAAGCUCGCAUCGAUUAAGUCCCUGCCCUUUGUACACACCGCCCGUCGCUACUACCGAUUGAACGUUUUAGUGAGGCAUUUGGACCGACGCAUCUCAGUUUAACCGCUGGUUUGUGUUGGAAAGACUUCCAAACUUGAGCGUUUAGAGGAAGUAAAAGUCGUAACA
This 324-nucleotide ribosomal RNA is filed under the name uncultured eukaryote. Its description in RNAcentral is "partial 18S ribosomal RNA". It matches the Rfam family "Eukaryotic small subunit ribosomal RNA", at positions 1470 to 1796 of the family's 1831-position model. The record is from RNAcentral.